UACGGAGGGGGCUAGCGUUAUUCGGAAUUAUUGGGCGUAAAGGGCGCGUAGGCGGCCCGGUAAGUCAAAGGUGAAAUCCCUCGGCUCAACUGAGGAACUGCCUUUGAAACUGUCGGGCUUGAGGCCGGGAGGGGGUAGCGGAAUUCCCAGUGUAGCGGUGAAAUGCGUAGAUAUUGGGAGGAACACCCGUGGCGAAAGCGGCUCUCUGGAACGGUACUGACGCUGAGACGCGAAAGCGUGGGGAGCGAACAGG
RNAcentral lists this ribosomal RNA (253 nucleotides) under uncultured bacterium. RNAcentral describes it as "partial 16S ribosomal RNA". It matches the Rfam family "Bacterial small subunit ribosomal RNA", at positions 524 to 776 of the family's 1533-position model. The record is from RNAcentral.